UAUAUUAUAGUUUAAUAAAAAACAUUAAAUUGCAAAUUUAAAAAUAUUUUUAAAUUAAUAUAU
RNAcentral lists this transfer RNA (63 nucleotides) under Pheidole megacephala. Its description in RNAcentral is "tRNA-Cys". Lineage: Eukaryota; Metazoa; Arthropoda; Insecta; Hymenoptera; Formicidae. The record is from RNAcentral.